This 386-nucleotide ribosomal RNA is filed under the name Bacidia laurocerasi subsp. laurocerasi. Its description in RNAcentral is "partial large subunit ribosomal RNA". It matches the Rfam family "Eukaryotic large subunit ribosomal RNA", at positions 367 to 773 of the family's 3401-position model. Lineage: Eukaryota; Fungi; Ascomycota; Lecanoromycetes; Lecanorales; Ramalinaceae. The record is from RNAcentral.
AAAAGCACUUNGGAAAGAGAGUUAAACAGUACGUGAAAUUGUUGAAAGGGAAGCGCUUGCAACCAGACCUGCCCGUGGGUGCUCAGCGGAGGUUCUCCCCCGUGCACUCGCCCACGAUCAGGCCAGCAUCAGUUCCGGCGACCGGAUAAAGGCCCCAAGAAUGUGGCUCCUCUCGGGGAGUGUUAUAGCUUGGGGUGGCAUACGGCCAGCUGGGACUGAGGACCGCGCUUCGGCAAGGAUGCUGGCNUAAUGGUUGUAAGCGGCCCGUCUUGAAACACGGACCAAGGAGUCGACCUAUUAUGCGAGUGUUUGGGUGUCAAACCCAUGCGCGCAAUGAAAGUGAACGGAGGUCANAGCCCUUUAGGGUGCAUGAUCGACCGAUCCUG